GUUUCGUAUAAAUGCGGGAAGGACACGGAGCGAUGCGAGUUCCGAGCAGGCGGCCGCGUCAAUGGCGGAGCGCCGGCCCCGAGCCCCCCUCGCGCCAGCUGCACAUGCGCCGACAACAGCUGAUCCCCGAACGUAGACUAACACCUAGAAGAAGCAAUAAAGAUGACUAAAAUGACUCGUCAAGGCCAAGUCUUCGAGACAUUACUUUGAAAUAUGGCCUUACAUGGCCCAAUAAAAUCUACAAAGUUGCAGAAAUUGGAUACUGAAACAGUGUAACUUAAUGGUUAGAUAAAGUUUUAUUGCCGCCGUUGUACAAUGUGCAAAAAGUAUAAAUAAAUAAAUAAAGUUGUAUUGCAUACCUA
Molecule: long non-coding RNA, 362 nt
Organism: Helicoverpa zea (corn earworm)
Lineage: Eukaryota; Metazoa; Arthropoda; Insecta; Lepidoptera; Noctuidae
Exons: 2
Source: RefSeq, a predicted model, not a curated record